UAACCACACCCUGGUUUUGUGUAGCCGC
RNAcentral lists this non-coding RNA (28 nucleotides) under Homo sapiens (human). Lineage: Eukaryota; Metazoa; Chordata; Mammalia; Primates; Hominidae. The record is from RNAcentral.